GUCUGAAUUUCCUGCUGCUAUUCACAAAGAUGCUUUUUAUCUUUAACUUUUUGUUUUCCCCACUUCCAACCCCGGCAUUGAUCUGCAUCCUGACAUUUGGAGCUGCCAUCUUCCUGUGGCUGAUCACCAGACCUCAACCCGUCUUACCUCUUCUUGACCUGAACAAUCAGUCUGUGGGAAUUGAGGGAGGAGCGCGGAAGGGUAUUUCCCAGAAGAACAAUGACCUAAUAAGUCACUGCUUCUCAGAUGCCACGACUAUGUAUGAGGUUUUCCAAAGAGGACUCGCUGUAUCUGACAAUGGGCCCUGCUUGGGAUAUAGAAAACCAAACCAGCCCUACAGAUGGCUAUCCUACAAACAGGUGUCUGAUAGAGCAGAGUACCUGGGUUCCUGUCUCUUGCAUAAAGGAUAUAAAUCGUCACAGGACCAAUUUGUCGGCAUCUUUGCUCAGAAUAGGCCAGAGGUAACUAUGUUGAAGCUAACUAAAGGAAAUGAGUCAAGGUUAAGUUUAAACGCUUCAAAUGCUAUUCCCCAUCCAGCACUCCAACACUUUUUAAUGCUUUACCAAAGCUAUUGUUAAAAUUUUCUAAUGCUUAUUCUGCUUGAAAGAGUUACAACUCAGAACCUACUUAAUUUCUGGUUAAGUGUCUAGCACUGUCACCUAGGUGUUCGGACUUCUCUUGUUUCCC
Molecule: long non-coding RNA, 687 nt
Filed under: Rhinopithecus bieti (black snub-nosed monkey)
Lineage: Eukaryota; Metazoa; Chordata; Mammalia; Primates; Cercopithecidae
Description: lncRNA (ENSRBIG00000045506.1)
Source: RNAcentral